Molecule: long non-coding RNA, 538 nt
Organism: Homo sapiens (human)
Lineage: Eukaryota; Metazoa; Chordata; Mammalia; Primates; Hominidae
Gene: H2AZ2-DT
Product: H2AZ2 divergent transcript
Exons: 3
Source: RefSeq, marked validated
GCUUCUGAGACUUGUUUGGGGAGGUAAAGAGUGUUGGACGUGCUUCUCCUGAGAUGGAGUCCUGGGACUACAGGCGCGCGCCCCAAUGCCCAGCUAACUUUUGUAUUUUUAAUAGAGACGGGGUUUCUCCGUGUUGGUCAGGCUGGUCUCGAACUCCUGACCUCAGGUGAUCUGCCCCCCUUUGCCUCCCAAAGUACUGGGAUUACAGGCGUGAGCCACCGCGCCCGGCAUGUAUUACAAAUUCUAAGAACACGAAGAUAAUGGGGCCGGCUUGGUGGCGCGAACCUGUAGCCUCACCUACUGUCAAGACUGAGACAGGAGGAUCUCUUGAGCCCAGGAGGUCGAGGCUGCAGUGAGUCAUGAUCGCACCACUGCACUCCAGCUUGGGAGACAGAAUAUACCCUGUCUAAAAAAUAAUAAUAAAAAAAAAGGUUAAAAUUUGGAGGAUAACUCCCAGCUAGAAAGGAAGAAAAGCUCUAAAGUGGAAUCGCCUUCCCCCGGAAGCUGUUGUAAAAAUUAAAGGAUGUAUGUGAGUGCA